GAUGAACGCUGGCGGCGCGCCUAACACAUGCAAGUCGAACGAUUAAAGCACCUUCGGGUGUGUAUAAAGUGGCGAACGGCUGAGUAACACGUGGGCAACCUGCCCCUUUCAUUGGGAUAGCCACGGGAAACCGUGGAUAAUACCGAAUACUUCGAGACUUCCGCAUGGAAGACUCGAGAAAGCUCCGGCGGAGAGGGAUGGGCCCGCGGCCUGUUAGCUUGUUGGUGGGGGAACGGCCUACCAAGGCAAUGAUGGGUAGCUGGGUUGAGAGACCGACCAGCCAGAUUGGGACUGAGACACGGCCCAGACUCCUACGGGAGGCAGCAGUGGGGAAUCUUGCACAAUGGGCGGAGGCCUGAUGCAGCGACGCCGCGUGCGGGAUGAAGGCCUUCGGGUUGUAAACCGCUUUCAGCAGGGACGAGGCGAAAGUGACGGUACCUGCAGAAGAAGCCCCGGCUAACUACGUG
This 467-nucleotide ribosomal RNA is filed under the name uncultured bacterium. RNAcentral describes it as "partial 16S ribosomal RNA". It matches the Rfam family "Bacterial small subunit ribosomal RNA", at positions 28 to 507 of the family's 1533-position model. The record is from RNAcentral.